RNAcentral lists this ribosomal RNA (301 nucleotides) under uncultured bacterium. RNAcentral's name for it is "partial 16S ribosomal RNA". It matches the Rfam family "Bacterial small subunit ribosomal RNA", at positions 509 to 809 of the family's 1533-position model. The record is from RNAcentral.
CAGCAGCCACGGUAAUACGUAGGUGGCAAGCGUUGUCUGGAAUUAUUGGGCGUAAAGGGCUCGCAGGCGGUUUCUUAAGUCUGAUGUGAAAGCCCCCGGCUCAACCGGGGAGGGUCAUUGGAAACUGGGAAACUUGAGUGCAGAAGAGGAGAGUGGAAUUCCACGUGUAGCGGUGAAAUGCGUAGAGAUGUGGAGGAACACCAGUGGCGAAGGCGACUCUCUGGUCUGUAACUGACGCUGAGGAGCGAAAGCGUGGGGAGCGAACAGGAUUAGAUACCCCCGUAGUCCCUGUCUCUUAUAA